CCUCGAAGGUUCCGGGCUGGGUGGCAGCCGAAGCGUCUAUGCCGACCUGAGAGUGCCCGCGGUGGCCCAGCCCAGUGCCUUGCACGCAGUCCUCCCCGGAGCCUCUUACCUUGGGGAUAUGUGGAGUUAUGCCAAGUGCACAUGUAGAAGCCAGUGGAUAAACUGAGGGAGUUGGUUCUUUCCUUCCACCAUGUGGGCUCCAAAGAUUGAAUUUAGAUCACCAUGUUUGGGAGGGUUUUAUGUAGGCUUGGUUUGGCGGGAACUCUUUGUUGCUGAGACUGACACUGAACUUCUGUCAACUCUCUUGCCUCUGUGUCCUGAGUGAGUGCUGGGAUUAUAGGCGUGUGUAACCACUCAUGGCUGGUGUGUAUGGUAUUGGUGAGUGAACCCAGGGCUUCAUGUAUUACUGACUAAAGAGCAUCUCCAGGCUCUCCUUUCUUUAGCAAAUGCAUAGUAAGCAACUUGGCGCUCCUGUGCUUUGCUCGGUGUGCUCGGUGCACAGACCACGCAUCAUGUGUUCUUGGAAAUAUUCCCUGUCCUUCUUCUAAGAAUCAAACACUCCCUGCUCCGAGUUCUCGGUGUCCUUAAUAUUAUUGUUUAAAUGUGUACACCUACUUCAUGUCCAGUCACUUGGCUAUGGACCUUGUGACUGUAUUUUACUCACCUUUGUCCCUGGUACUUGUACUCAGAAGAGGACUGAUAACUGACGGCCAAUUGAGUGUGUUAAUGAGCAGUGGAUGGGUGGUCAGCAGUGACUUGAACAUAGGUAAUGAUGAAAACCCACCGCUCCCCACAGUCUACAGAGUCCUGCCUGACCACAGUCUACAGAGUCCUGCCUGAGUGAGUACUUGUCCAUUCUUGCUGGGUCUGGCCCUUUAGGUCAUCCCUUCUUUAUCCCAUUCCCUAUUUUAUUCAGUUCAAACUAUUUCUCAUGGAUGCCAUUUGGUACAUUCAUUUGUUUAUGCACUGUUGGCUUGCUUCUUUCAUUUUUUUUAAAUUAAAAAGCGUUGGGUGAGGAUAAUGUCAUGAUGCAUAUGUGAGAGUCAUAGGGUAACUGUGGAACUGGAUCUCUCCUCUACCUUUACAUGCUGCAGUGAUUUCUUAAAAACGGCCCCCAAAGAGAGUAGCACUAUUAGGUCUGGCCUUGUUGGAGUGAGUAUGACUUUUCUGGAGGAAGUG
Long non-coding RNA from Mesocricetus auratus (golden hamster), 1179 nucleotides. RefSeq lists it as uncharacterized. NCBI's taxonomy places the organism in Eukaryota, Metazoa, Chordata, Mammalia, Rodentia, Cricetidae. The transcript is spliced from 3 exons. The record is from RefSeq and is a predicted model, not a curated record.